AGUAUUAAAUAUAGACGAAAAUAAAAACUAAUUGCACAGUUUGGUCGAAAUUGACCAGACGAAUCUUUUGAGUCUAGUUAGUACAUGAUUGGACAAUAUUUGUCAAAUACAAACGAAAAUGCUACAGUGUCAAUUUCCCAAAAUUUUUCGGAACUAAACAAGGCCCAAGCCCCAUUUUUCUCGCAGAAAAACGAAGCAGGGGGACCAGAAAGUGGAGGAUCGGGACAAAUCGUGGCCGCUCCGCUCCGGGGAAGUUGGGCGCGUCGGCGAAGCUUGCCUGUCCUCGCGUCGCCGAGCCCACACCUCGGCGCCUAUCUGGCUAUCAGCACUGCCCCCUUGUGAGUACAGUGACCUACUGACUUGUGUCACCAAUCCGGCCCCCUCAACUGUAUUUUCAUUCCACAUUAAAUUCCUCCUUUUCUCCCCUUCUCCAUAACGUCAACGAAGUAGGUUUCAAAAGGAAAAAAAAAAGUACUCCAUGAACUUUAGCAAAAAGUCGCUCUUGCAAUGUCAAAUCAGUUUUGCACUGUCCUGCUUUGCGGAUAAUCCUUUCGUCCAGUAAUACUAGGGCCUCGUUGUUCUGAAAAGAUUUCAGAUUUCGUACGUAUUUUUGUUUUUAUUUGACAAAUACUGUAUUAUCUAAUUAUGGACUAAUUAGACUCAAAAGAUUCAUCUCGUGAUUUACAACCAAACUGUGCAAUUAGUUUUUGUUUUCGUCUAUAUCUAAUGCUUUAUGCAUAUGCCUCAAGAUUUGAUGUGACGGAGAAUCUUGAAAAGUUUUUUAUUUUUUGGGUGAACUAAACAAGGCCUAGAUAACUCUGUGCUUGAGUUUAUUUGUCAAAUCUACCAACUAUUUUAGAAGUGUUUUUCUUUCAUAACAAAUCAGCGAAAAGUACUUUCAGCCGGCAAAUUAUUGGUGAAAUAAAUGAUAACCUUGUGCUUAUCAUAUUUUGCACAUGUUAAUAGAUACAAUGGCAGUUAUGUAUGUAGUUGGUGUUUUGAAGGAGUUAAUUCAUUUAGAAUUUAGAAUACCUUAUAAUUUAAGAUAAAAUUUGGAUGUUUUGAUACGUUAUAUUUUAGGACAGAUAGAGUAUAAUUCUACCUUUAUGUUAAGUCCAGUUUUCUAAGGUUAUAAGUAUCAGUAUUGAUAGCAAACUAAUAUUCAUGAUGAAUUGAAUAACACUUAAAUAUUGAUCUUUUUAUAAAUGAAUUAAAUGUAAAAUAUUUGACUAGAUGCUAUGCUAGACUGCAUUCUUUUUAGGAGGGGGGAAUACAAAAUGAAUGUUUCACUGAAUUCUCGUCUAUAAAGUCUGGAAUUCUAGCACAAUAUUAAGUAUAAAGAUAUCAAUAUUUAUAGUACCAACUAAAUAUCACAAGAUUUGUCAUGAAUAUAUUUUAUAGUAUAUUUAUAUUUAGCAUCAUAACUGUUAAUAUUUUUACCUAAAUAUAUUUGUUAAAUGUUAGAUAUUCUUGACAUAUGUAGUAGAUUAUAGAUAGGUUCACAUCCUGCCUCUGGGUCUGCCUUCAUAACUCAGUUAAUUCUGUACUUUUUCGCUAAUUCUACAAGUAAUUGGAAAGUUGAAGUUUGUAGGUUGGACGACCGUACAACUGCACCAAUCGGCUACUGUGGGAUACGAGCACUUAUAUAACUACAGUAGUGUGCAGUGCAUACUUUAUUGCAUGACUGUACGUGGAUGUGCUUCAAGCCUCAUCAAGGAGACACAAAAAAAUGGCAAAAUGGUAGAACGUUCAAGCGUCUACCAUUCUUGACCAAAAUUGAGGCCUUGUUAGUUUAAAAAAAAUUCAGACCGUCACAACAAAUCUUACUGUACAUAUAUGGAACACUAAAUAUAAAUUAAAAAAAUAACUAAUUAUAUAGUUUAUCUAUAAUUUACUAGACAAAUCUUUUGACCCUAGUUAGUUCAUAAUUGGACAAUAGUAACAAAUACCGGAUCACGUAUUAUCAACCAAUUUUCCGGUGUGUUUAUAAGCUCACAACAAAUCAUUAAUUUGACAUCGUGCAGCCUUUUUAUUUAUUUAAGAAAAGAAAAGAAAAACUAAAGGGUUAAGUUGUCAAUGAACAGUAGAGUAGGCAAACAUUUAUCUGUCCGUUCCAGCAGCAUUAAUCAAAAUUCAGACAAAUCCAUGUCAUUCUUGCAUUGUUGCCCUGGCCCCCAGUCACUACGCUUCAAAGCAGCAGCAGCAGGCCAGCAGCUGACGCCCUGACCCUACACCCAGUCAAACCGAUCGCCUCCUCCGAUCGCCAUUAACGAGUCAGUUGCUCUGCGCUACCACGCGGCCGAGAUGCUGCUGGCGCAGCAAGCUCACCGCCCCUAGAGCCUACAGCGAGCGAGCACGCACGGCAGCUACUAGAAGGCUAGCUAGCGCAUACCAAACCAAACAAACUCCUUUAAAGCCCCACCAGCGGGGGCAGCGCAGGCACCGUCGUCACUGCCAGGCUCGAGGGCAGAGCUAGGGGACCUCACCGCCGCGAUCUCCGGCGUGUCGAGCAGGGGCGUGGCGCGGCGGCCAGGGACGAGCGAGCUAGGGCGCCAUGAGCUCGUCGUCGGACAAUGGCGCCGGCCCGGAGGCCGGCGGGAAGAAGAAGAAGAAGAAGGCGGCGGAGGAGGAGGCGGCGGCGGCCAAGGUGCCGUUCCUGAAGCUGUUCUCGUUCGCGGACCGGUGGGACUGCGUGCUGAUGGCUGUGGGCUCGCUGGGCGCGUGCGCGCACGGCGCCUCCGUCCCGGUCUUCUUCAUCUUCUUCGGCAAGCUCAUCAACAUCAUCGGCCUCGCCUACCUCUUCCCCACCACCGUCUCCGGCCGCGUCGCCAAGGUAACGGCGCCGGCGCGCGCAUGGCGCAUCUAGCUCGCCGGCCGUUUUGUAGAGAUCUCGGCGCGCUCGCUCACCUAAUUGCUUGGUGCAACGACGACAUGGGCUGAUUUUUUUUUUUUCGCUUGGCGUGCACACAGUACUCGCUGGACUUCGUGUACCUCGGCGUCGUCAUACUCUUCUCGUCCUGGACCGGUGCGUGCGUGCGUGCGUGCAACAAGACACUGCUGCUUCUAGUAUGCAAUGCGGGCCGCGCGAGCAGCGUGCGUGCAGAUAAAAAAAGAUGACUUGCGCGUCGUCGUGUGUGUGGUGCAGAGGUGGCGUGCUGGAUGCACACGGGGGAGCGGCAGGCGGCGAAGAUGCGGCAGGCGUACCUGCGCGCGAUGCUGGACCAGGACAUCGCCGUCUUCGACACGGAGGCGUCCACCGGCGAGGUCAUCAACGCCAU
This 3278-nucleotide long non-coding RNA is filed under the name Sorghum bicolor (sorghum). Its description in RNAcentral is "long non-coding RNA (SBIC_LNC007399)". The record is from RNAcentral. Lineage: Eukaryota; Viridiplantae; Streptophyta; Magnoliopsida; Poales; Poaceae.